This 315-nucleotide ribosomal RNA is filed under the name Enterococcus lactis. Its description in RNAcentral is "partial 16S ribosomal RNA". It matches the Rfam family "Bacterial small subunit ribosomal RNA", at positions 1 to 294 of the family's 1533-position model. The record is from RNAcentral. Lineage: Bacteria; Bacillati; Bacillota; Bacilli; Lactobacillales; Enterococcaceae.
UUUUAUGAGAGUUUGAUCCUGGCUCAGGACGAACGCUGGCGGCGUGCCUAAUACAUGCAAGUCGUACGCUUCUUUUUCCACCGGAGCUUGCUCCACCGGAAAAAGAGGAGUGGCGAACGGGUGAGUAACACGUGGGUAACCUGCCCAUCAGAAGGGGAUAACACUUGGAAACAGGUGCUAAUACCGUAUAACAAUCGAAACCGCAUGGUUUUGAUUUGAAAGGCGCUUUCGGGUGUCACUGAUGGAUGGACCCGCGGUGCAUUAGCUAGUUGGUGAGGUAACGGCUCACCAAGGCCACGAUGCAUAGCCGACCUG